CCUACGGGUGGCAGCAGUAGGGAAUAUUGCGCAAUGGGGGAAACCCUGAAGCAGCAACGCCGCGUGGAGGAUGAAGGUUUUCGGAUUGUAAACUCCUUUUGUUAGAGAAGAUAAUGACGGUAUCUAACGAAUAAGCACCGGCUAACUCCGUGCCAGCAGCCGCGGUAAUACGGAGGGUGCAAGCGUUACUCGGAAUCACUGGGCGGAAAGAGCGCGUAGGCGGGAUAGCAAGUCAGAUGUGAAAUCCUAUGGCUUAACCAUAGAACUGCAUUUGAGACUGUUAUUCUAGAGUAUGGGAGAGGUAGGUGGAAUUCUUGGUGGAGGGGUAAAAUCCGUAGAGAUCAAGAGGAAUACUCAUUGCGAAGGCGACCUGCUAGAACAUAACUGACGCUGAUGCGCGAAAGCGUGGGGAGCAAACAGGAUUAGAUACCCGGGUAGUC
RNAcentral lists this ribosomal RNA (440 nucleotides) under uncultured bacterium. RNAcentral's name for it is "partial 16S ribosomal RNA". It matches the Rfam family "Bacterial small subunit ribosomal RNA", at positions 338 to 795 of the family's 1533-position model. The record is from RNAcentral.